CAGAGAAGAGAGCAGGUCGAUCCCCACUCUUCAAAACCCUAGAACUUCACUAAACUUGCAAAUUGAAGGUCCAAUUCAGUCCAAAAUCGAAAUUAAAGCAUGGAUUAUUGAUCCUCAUCACAAGAGGAUUAAAAGUUUGACUCUUGACAAGCUAGAAGGAGACUUGGGCAAGGAACGGGUCAAACGGUUCGUGUAUGGGAAAAAGAGCAUAACCGGAGGCAAGGACCGAUUAGCAAAUCGGAUAAUUUCGUCACUAUUGAUUUUGUGAUAAUGAAAACAAGGUAUAAAACGGGUCUACUUGUUGAUCCGGGCCAGGUACGCAUAUUCAUGUUGUAGUUUAAAUUGCUAUUUUGGUCGAAUAAAUGGGAAAGAGAGUCUUUCGUAGUAAAAAGA
Molecule: long non-coding RNA, 393 nt
Organism: Helianthus annuus (common sunflower)
Lineage: Eukaryota; Viridiplantae; Streptophyta; Magnoliopsida; Asterales; Asteraceae
Exons: 3
Source: RefSeq, a predicted model, not a curated record